AUGAACGCUGGCGGCGUGCCUAAUACAUGCAAGUCGAGCGAACAGACGAGGAGCUUGCUCCUCUGACGUUAGCGGCGGACGGGUGAGUAACACGUGGAUAACCUACCUAUAAGACUGGGAUAACUUCGGGAAACCGGAGCUAAUACCGGAUAAUAUAUUGAACCGCAUGGUUCAAUAGUGAAAGACGGUUUUGCUGUCACUUAUAGAUGGAUCCGCGCCGCAUUAGCUAGUUGGUAAGGUAACGGCUUACCAAGGCAACGAUGCGUAGCCGACCUGAGAGGGUGAUCGGCCACACUGGAGCUGAGACACGGUCCAGACUCCUACGGGAGGCAGCAGUAGGGAAUCGUCCGCAGUGGGCGAAAGCUUGACGGAGUAACGCCGCGUGAGUGAUGAAGGUCUUCGGAUCGUAAAACUCUGUUAUUAGGGAAGAACAAAUGUGUAAGUAACUAUACACGUCUUGACGGUACCUGAUCAGAAAGCAACGGCUAACUACGUG
RNAcentral lists this ribosomal RNA (496 nucleotides) under uncultured bacterium. Its description in RNAcentral is "partial 16S ribosomal RNA". It matches the Rfam family "Bacterial small subunit ribosomal RNA", at positions 29 to 507 of the family's 1533-position model. The record is from RNAcentral.